UUCCCCAGUCUCCAUUCAAGCCCCACCGUUCUCUAGCUGGACUGGAAACUGGCUCACGGGGUCUACACAGGGGGAGGAGGAGGGGAGGAGGCGCCAAGCAGAAGCUCCUGCCUCCAGGUUCCUGCCUUGAGUUCCUGCUCUGACUUCCCUGGAUGAUGGACUGCAAGCUGCAAGACGAUGUAAACUCUUCCUUCCCAGUUUGGCUUUGGUCAUGAUGGUGUUUUAUCACAGCAACAGAAGCCCUAAGACAAACCUUCCAGGAGCACAAAAAGACAGAGUGUAUCCUACCACUGCAGACUGUGUGGUCAGGCUGAAGUGAGCUGCAGAUGGAUGUCUUACCAGCCACGGGAUCUCUGGUAAGUCACUAGACUGUCCAAACUUCAGUCAUCUCAUAUGUAAAAAUGAGGAUCCUAUUUGUUGAAGGUUAGAAAUCACCAUUUUCGUAAGUCAAAAUGGUCAGAGAGUGAUGAUUUCAUGGACUUUAACCUUUCACAAGAGAGAAUUGU
Molecule: long non-coding RNA, 506 nt
Organism: Peromyscus leucopus (white-footed mouse)
Lineage: Eukaryota; Metazoa; Chordata; Mammalia; Rodentia; Cricetidae
Exons: 3
Source: RefSeq, a predicted model, not a curated record